GGGGCCAUAGCUCAGCUGGGAGAGCGCCUGCCUUGCACGCAGGAGGUCGGCGGUUCGAUCCCGCCUGGCUCCA
This is a transfer RNA of Thiothrix nivea DSM 5205, 73 nucleotides long. It matches the Rfam family "tRNA". Rfam says of the family: Transfer RNA (tRNA) molecules are approximately 80 nucleotides in length. Their secondary structure includes four short double-helical elements and three loops (D, anti-codon, and T loops). NCBI's taxonomy places the organism in Bacteria, Pseudomonadati, Pseudomonadota, Gammaproteobacteria, Thiotrichales, Thiotrichaceae. The record is from Rfam.